Oncorhynchus keta (chum salmon) is the source of this 3153-nucleotide long non-coding RNA. RefSeq lists it as uncharacterized. The record is from RefSeq and is a predicted model, not a curated record. NCBI's taxonomy places the organism in Eukaryota, Metazoa, Chordata, Actinopteri, Salmoniformes, Salmonidae. The transcript is spliced from 3 exons.
GUGUGUAUAGGUGGCAGGGAAGUCAGGCGUAGGAGAGUCAAAAUGGAGUGUAAAUUGAGUCUUUUAAUAAAUGUACACGUAACAUGCUCCAUAACACUAAAAUGUACAGCCAUAAACAAACAUGGGUACGAGGACCCGUCGAGCACCGAUACAACAUAAAACUACACUGACAAUAAAACAAUCUCUAACAAAGACAUGAGGGGAAACAGAGGGUUAAAUACACAACAGGUAAUGAAUGGGAUUAAAAACAGGUGUGUGGGAAGACAAGACAAAACCAAUGGAAAAUGGAUCAAUGAUGGCGAGAAGACCGGUGACGUCGACCUCCGAGCACCGCCCGAACAAGGAGAGGCAACGACUUCGAUAGAAGUCGUGACGACCGUAAAUAUUAGAAAGCCGGGUUUGACCGUCGGCGUUGUAUGAGCUACAGUACAGUACCGUUAUCUAGCAAGAUAACGUUAUGUCCUAACUAGGCACAACUAGGUUUGGAUUAUUUCCCUCAACUAUAUUCGUUCCCAUAUAUUGUAUAUCGUUUCCAUAAAGCCAACAUGGCUUUACACUCAAUAACGUACGUUUCCAAUUUAGAGCAGUUCUCAGUUUUGUGAUAAUGAACUAGCAAACGUUAACUAACUAAGGACGGUGACCAGUCCUGACGAGAUGUUACAACGAACUGAAUCGUCAAUGGAGCUCUUCCUCUUUAUAUAGCCUGCUACAGCAUGCUAUACUAUUAACUCACAAGGGGGCGUAACUUUACAUGUACAAUACUAUCCCAUUUUGGAAACGUUACAUGGACAAUACUAUCCCAUUUUGGAAACGUUACAUGGACAAUAAUAUCCCAUUUUGGAAACGUUACAUGGACAAUAAUAUCCCAUUUUGGAAACGUUACAUGUACAAUAAUAUCCCAUUUUGGAAACGUUACAUGUACAAUAAUAUCCCAUUUUGGAAAUGUUACAUGUACAAUAAUAUCCCAUUUUGGAAACGUUACAUCUACAAUACUAUCCCAAUUUGGAAACGUUACAUGGACAAUACUAUCCCAUUUUGGAAACGUUACAUGUCCGCUUUAAUUAUCUUAAUUAUCUUUUCAGAUCUUCUCAGAAAUGAAUAAAGUCAAUGGAAUGGAUAUAGACAAAACGAGAUUUCAAGGACUAGCAGAGGUAGAGAGGCAGGGGUGAGGACAUCAUCCUGCUAUUUUGACAGUCCUUUUAGGACAGUACAGAAGAGGACUGGAGACCACAGCAGCGAUUCUGCUCUUGCCCAACCUCUUCAAAGAGGAACCGAGUGGCCUUUAUGUCCAUGACAAGAUUUCACCGCUCUUCACUCCUUUACUGCACAUCGGUGGAAAUCCAUUUCACCAUGAGAGUGAAAUCCCGCUGGCCUUUGAUGGGGAGAACAUCCACGCCCUCGAGGACGUCUCCAUGGGACUUUACUAGGGCUGUAUUUUUUAUUUUCCCUUAAAUUUCCCCAAAAUGUAAGAAAAACACUUAUGUUGUUAAGUUACUGUGUUCUGGGGAGAAGAGAAGUUGGGUGAAGUUACCAGGGCCGGUCAUAAAGAUGGCAAACUUCCUAACAUAACUAAGUGAAUAUGAAAUGCACAGUAAGCUGAAAAUCUGUAUUUAGCAUCAAGUCUACAAUGUUGUUUACCUAUGAUUCAUGUUUAAUGUAUGUUGUUUUUAUUCUACAUCAUCAUUUAAAAAUAUAUAUAUACAGUGCCUUGCGAAAGUAUUCGGCCCCCUUGAACUUUGCGACCUUUUGCCACAUUUCAGGCUUCAAACAUAAAGAUAUAAAACUGUAUUUUUUUGUGAAGAAUCAACAAGUGGGUCACAAUCAUGAAGUGGAAUGACAUUUAUUGGAUAUUUCAAACUUUUUUAACAAAUCAAAACCUGAAAAUUGGGCGUGCAAAAUUAUUCAGCCCCCCUAAGUUAAUACUUUGUAGCGCCACCUUUUGCUGCGAUUACAGCUGUAAAUCGCUUGGGGUAUGUCUCUAUCAGUUUUGCACAUCGAGAGACUGAAUUUUUUUCACAUUCCUCCUUGCAAAACAGCUCGAGCUCAGUGAGGUUGGAUGGAGAGCAUUUGUGAACAGCAGUUUUCAGUUCUUUCCACAGAUUCUCAAUUGGAUUCAGGUCUGGACUUUGACUUUGCCAUUCUAACACCUGGAUAUGUUUAUUUUUGAACCAUUCCAUUGUAGAUUUUGCUUUAUGUUUUGGAUCAUUGUCUUGUUGGAAGACAAAUCUCCGUCCCAGUCUCAGGUCUUUUGCAGACUCCAUCAGGUUCUUCCAUAAUGGUCCUGUAUUUGGCUCCAUCCAUCUUCCCAUCAAUUUUAACCAUCUUCCCUGUCCCUGCUGAAGAAUAGCAGGCCCAAUCCAUGAUGCUGCCACCACCAUGUUUGACAGUGGGGAUGGUGUGUUCAGGGUGAUGAGCUGUGUUGCUUUUAUGCCAAACAUAAUGUUUUGCAUUGUUGCCAAAAAGUUCAAUUUUGGUUUCAUCUGACCAGAGCACCUUCUUCCACAUGUUUGGUGUGUCUCCCAGGUGGCUUGUGGCAAACUUUAAACAACACUUUUUAUGGAUAUCUUUAAGAAAUGGCUUUCUUCUUGCCACUCUUCCAUAAAGGCCAGAUUUGUGCAAUAUACGACUGAUUGUUGUCCUAUGGACAGAGUCUCCCACCUCAGCUGUAGAUCUCUGCAGUUCAUCCAGAGUGAUCAUGGGCCUCUUGGCUGCAUCUCUGAUCAGUCUUCUCCUUGUAUGAGCUGAAAGUUUAGAGGGACGGCCAGAUCUUGGUAGAUUUGCAGUGGUCUGAUACUCCUUCCAUUUCAAUAUUAUCGCUUGCACAGUGCUCAUUGGGAUGUUUAAAGCUUGGGAAAUCUUUUUCUAUCCAAAUCCGGCUUUAAACUUCUUCACAACAGUAUCUCGGACCUGCCUGGUGUGUUCCUUGUUCUUCAUGAUGCUCUCUGCGCUUUUAACGGACCUCUGAGACUAUGCAUUUAUACGGAGACUUGAUUACACACAGGUGGAUUGUAUUUAUCAUCAUUAGUCAUUUAGGUCAACAUUGGAUCAUUCAGAGAUCCUCACUGAACUUCUGGAGAGAGUUUGCUGCACUGAAAGUAAAGGGGCUGAAUAAUUUUGCACGCCCAAUUUUUCAGUUUUUGAUUUGUUAAAAAA